Anas platyrhynchos (mallard) is the source of this 670-nucleotide non-coding RNA. The record is from the annotation of a RefSeq genome assembly. Lineage: Eukaryota; Metazoa; Chordata; Aves; Anseriformes; Anatidae.
AAUACGCCCGUCCCCAGCAUCCCCACAGCACCCAGCACCCCUUCCCUUCCCCACCAUGAGUCCUCGGCCUCACGCCUUCGCCCUCCUCCUCCUCCUGGCCGCCGUCCCAGGGCUGCGGGCGGCCAAGAUCUUGGAUGAGUCCGGAGGGGGCCUCGUGAGUCCCGGGGGGUCCCUGACCCUGGUCUGCAAGGGCUCCGGAUACACCUUCAGCAGCAACGGCAUGGGAUGGGUGCGACAGGCACCUGGGAAGGGGCUCGAAGAGGUCGCAGCUAUUAGGAACGAUGGUAGUAGCACAUGGUACGCGCCGGCGGUGAAGGGACGCUUCACCAUCUCCAGGAACAACGGGCAGAGCACGCUCACCCUGCAGAUGAACAGCCUCAAGGCCGAAGACACCGCCACCUACUACUGCGCGAGAGGUCCUAGUGGUUAUACUACAGCUGCUGGUAGUGACAUUGCUGGUGCUCCUGGUGCUGGUUACAUUGAUGGUUGGGGUGACAUUAAAAAUGGUCUUGGUGAUGUUGACGGUCUUGGCAUUGAUUGUGGUGGUGGUGGUGGUGGUGCUGGUGGUGGUGGUCACAUCGCUCAUCUUGAUCACCCAAAUCCCUGGCAUUCCACCCCAAAUCAUUUGCUGAACCCAACUCAUUCCACUGACCCCAAGGUACUAAAUUAA